UACAGAGGUGGCAAGCGUUGUUCGGAAUCACUGGGCGUAAAGGGCUCGUAGGCGGCCAACUAAGUCAGGCGUGAAAUCCCUCGGCUUAACCGGGGAACUGCGUCUGAUACUGGAUGGCUUGAGUUUGGGAGAGGGAUGCGGAAUUCCAGGUGUAGCGGUGAAAUGCGUAGAUAUCUGGAGGAACACCGGUGGCGAAGGCGGCAUCCUGGACCAACACUGACGCUGAGUGAGCGAAAGCCAGGGGAGCAAACGGG
RNAcentral lists this ribosomal RNA (254 nucleotides) under uncultured bacterium. RNAcentral's name for it is "partial 16S ribosomal RNA". It matches the Rfam family "Bacterial small subunit ribosomal RNA", at positions 524 to 776 of the family's 1533-position model. The record is from RNAcentral.